This 289-nucleotide ribosomal RNA is filed under the name uncultured Planctomycetaceae bacterium. Its description in RNAcentral is "partial 16S ribosomal RNA". The record is from RNAcentral. Lineage: Bacteria; Pseudomonadati; Planctomycetota; Planctomycetia; Planctomycetales; Planctomycetaceae.
CUACCGGGGUAUCUAAUCCCGUUUGCUCCCCUGGCUUUCGCGCCUCAGCGUCAGAAGGGAUCCAGCACGCCGCCUUCGCCACCGGAGUUCCUAUGGAUAUCAACGCAUUUCACCGCUCCACCCACAGUUCCGCGUGCCCCUAUCCCCCUCGAGAUCGUCAGUAUCCGAGGCCGUUCUCCCGUUGAGCGGGAGGAUUUCACCCCGGACUUGACAGCCCGCCUACGCGCCCUUUAAGCCCAGUGAUUCCGAACAACGUUCGCACGGUUCGUCUUACCGCGGCUGCUGGCAC